This 774-nucleotide long non-coding RNA is filed under the name Gallus gallus (chicken). Its description in RNAcentral is "lncRNA (ENSGALG00010014921.1)". The record is from RNAcentral. Lineage: Eukaryota; Metazoa; Chordata; Aves; Galliformes; Phasianidae.
UAUCCAGCAGCUCCAACUGCUAUCCAGCAGAUCCGGCUGAUAUCCAGCAGAUCCAACCGCAGACCAGCAGAUCCAACCGCAGACCAGCAGAUCCAACCGCAGACCAGCAGAUCCAACCGCAGACCAGCAGGUCCAACCGCGGGCCAGCAGGUCCAACUGCAGGCCAGCAGGUCCAACUGCUAACCAACUGCCCACUGCGCUCGGCAUUAUUGCAUCACGUGACAUCACAGGGUACUGAACGCCCCCAGCCCAAUGGCGGCGGUGUCCUGGCCAGCCCCAGUCCCAGCCUUGCUCUCCACUGCCGCCCUUCACAGCAACGGCUCCACCCUACCCAGCUGUGGUUUGUUUGCCCCUCUUCAGCUGAAUCCAGGACUCCUCCUUCCCCCUCAGCCUGUCUCACAGGCUUUGACCAGCACAGCUCACCUCAGCAGUGCCCCCCGGGUGCGGGCUGAAGGCAGGUUGGGAUGCCAGUAUUAAAAACGUUCUGUUAGCACCCAUCUGCUGCUGUUUUGUCUUCACCAAUGGAACUGUGCCUCUGCUGCUGGGUGUUAGGCGGUAAUUCCUCCUGAUUGCGAGGCCAACAUGUGUGCCUGAGCGAUGUGGGGGGCAAGGAGCGCAGCGCCUCUCGGCCUGAGGAGCUCUCUCCCUCAGCUCUGCUCUGCAGAGCGUUUACUCUGUGCCAGUGGUCAGCAGUGUGGCUGCUCUCAGCUUUUCCCCACAUCUAUAAACGUUCUGAUCGUUUUCUGACACACGAGGACACUCAGAGGAGCAGAG